UACGUAGGGGGCAAGCGUUGUCCGGAUUUAUUGGGCGUAAAGAGCGUGUAGGCGGCUAGACAAGUCUGCUGUGAAAACUCGAGGCUCAACCUCGAGCUGUCGGCGGAAACUGUCUGUCUAGAGUCCGGAAGAGGAGAGUGGAAUUCCUGGUGUAGCGGUGAAAUGCGCAGAUAUCAGGAAGAACACCUAUGGCGAAGGCAGCUCUCUGGGACGGUACUGACGCUGAGACGCGAAAGCGUGGGGAGCGAACAGG
Molecule: ribosomal RNA, 253 nt
Filed under: uncultured bacterium
Lineage: Bacteria
Description: partial 16S ribosomal RNA
Rfam family: Bacterial small subunit ribosomal RNA
Source: RNAcentral